This is a long non-coding RNA of Podarcis raffonei (Aeolian wall lizard), 307 nucleotides long. RefSeq lists it as uncharacterized. Lineage: Eukaryota; Metazoa; Chordata; Lepidosauria; Squamata; Lacertidae. The transcript is spliced from 3 exons. The record is from RefSeq and is a predicted model, not a curated record.
AGUCCAAUGCGCUAUCCAUUGCGCCACGGAGCCACCUGUUGGAUUCUUUGUACAUUCGCUAUACAACCCACAGAAAGACUUCGUCCCGUCCUUCGCAGCAGGAAAGGUGAAUCAUUGGCAGUCCAUUUUGCACACACCUUUUGCCAAGAGACAUCAAUUCAGUUUCCAUGCAGCCUUGAGAGAUGCUUCACUGAAGAUGAACAUCCUUCAUCUAGCCCAAGAUACCUAUACCUUACUUCCAGAAUAAAUUUUACAGGCACCCUCUGCAUCAGUUACCAGCCUCUGAGGACUCUUUAAGUGUAACACU